This 497-nucleotide ribosomal RNA is filed under the name uncultured bacterium. RNAcentral's name for it is "partial 16S ribosomal RNA". It matches the Rfam family "Bacterial small subunit ribosomal RNA", at positions 28 to 507 of the family's 1533-position model. The record is from RNAcentral.
GAUGAACGCUGGCGGCGUGCCUAAUACAUGCAAGUCGAGCGAACGGACGAGAAGCUUGCUUCUCUGAUGUUAGCGGCGGACGGGUGAGUAACACGUGGAUAACCUACCUAUAAGACUGGGAUAACUUCGGGAAACCGGAGCUAAUACCGGAUAAUAUUUUGAACCGCAUGGUUCAAAAGUGAAAGACGGUCUUGCUGUCACUUAUAGCUGGAUCCGCGCUGCAUUAGCUAGUUGGUAAGGUAACGGCUUACCAAGGCAACGAUGCAUAGCCGACCUGAGAGGGUGAUCGGCCACACUGGAACUGAGACACGGUCCAGACUCCUACGGGAGGCAGCAGUGGGGAAUCUUCCACAAUGGGCGAAAGCCUGACGGAGCAACGCCGCGUGAGUGAAGAAGGUCUUCGGAUCGUAAAACUCUGUUAUUAGGGAAGAACAGAUGUGUAAUUAACUGUGCACAUCUUGACGGUACCUAAUCAGAAAGCCACGGCUAACUACGUG